RNAcentral lists this unclassified non-coding RNA (391 nucleotides) under soil metagenome. Its description in RNAcentral is "partial contains 5.8S ribosomal RNA, internal transcribed spacer 2, and large subunit ribosomal RNA". The stretch from base 1 to 122 matches the Rfam family "5.8S ribosomal RNA", at positions 35 to 154 of the family's 154-position model. The record is from RNAcentral.
GAUGAAGAACGUAGCGAAAUGCGAUACUUGGUGUGAAUUGCAGAAUCCCGUGAACCAUCGAGUCUUUGAACGCAAGUUGCGCCCGAAGCCAUUAGGCCGAGGGCACGCCUGCCUGGGCAUCACACGUCGUUGCCCCCCCAUCUACUCCUUCGGGAUUGCGGGGGGUGGAUGAUGGCCUCCCGUGCGCCUCGCCGCGCGGUUGGCAUAAAUGCCAAGUCCUCGGCGACGCACGCCACGACAAUCGGUGGUUGCGAAACCUCGGUUGCCCGUCGUGUGCGGUCGUCGCGCAUCGAGGGCUCGAAAAAAUUGCCGGGUUCCGGCUCGGCUUUCAACGCGACCCCAGGUCAGGCGGGGUUACCCGCUGAAUUUAAGCAUAUCAAUAAGCGGAGGA